UACGGGGGGAGCAAGCGUUGUUCGGAUUUACUGGGCGUAAAGGGCGCGUAGGCGGCCUCCGCAAGUCAGUUGUGAAAUCUCCGAGCUUAACCCGGAAAGGUCAACUGAUACUGCGGGGCUAGAGUGCGGAAGGGGCAACUGGAAUUCUUGGUGUAGCGGUGAAAUGCGUAGAUAUCAAGAGGAACACCUGCGGCGAAGGCGGGUUGCUGGGCCGACACUGACGCUGAGGCGCGAAAGCUAGGGGAGCGAACGGG
Molecule: ribosomal RNA, 254 nt
Filed under: uncultured bacterium
Lineage: Bacteria
Description: partial 16S ribosomal RNA
Rfam family: Bacterial small subunit ribosomal RNA
Source: RNAcentral